AAAUUGAAUGGGAUUUUUUGUGUUGUGUUCAUCAUGAUCUCUACUUUUUUAUCAUUAUUUUUCCAGAAUUUUUGGAUGAAUGGUUUUUAAAUGGCCUUAGGGUUUGUGACAUGUGACCAAAUUUUGUACACCUUGCCAAAUCAAUUGUGAAAUGAUGAGAAUGUAUCCAAUGGCUCCCAAAUUUUUUGUGCUCAAACUAGACACACUCAUGGUGAUUUUGGUAUAGAGUUUGUGAAUUUAUCAUUUGUGGUUUGUGAGUUAUGAUUUUU
Molecule: long non-coding RNA, 269 nt
Filed under: Lathyrus oleraceus (garden pea)
Lineage: Eukaryota; Viridiplantae; Streptophyta; Magnoliopsida; Fabales; Fabaceae
Description: Pisum sativum (pea) long non-coding RNA (PSAT_LNC041718)
Source: RNAcentral